GAGCGGCGGCACUAGUGUGGAGGCCGGGGUAUCCUAACCGUGCGAAGGUAGCGUAAUCACUUGUUCUUUAAAUGAGGACUAGUAUGAAUGGCAUCACGAGGGCUAUACUGUCUCCUUUUUCUAAUCAGUGAAACUAAUCUUCCCGUGAAGAAGCGGGAAUUCACCUAUAAGACGAGAAGACCCUAUGGAGCUUUAAAUUUUUCUUCAACUGCCCUACUCCUUCUAAAGUUUAUACUUUUCACAACAACUUCGGCAUUAUGAGGAUAAAUUUUAGGUUGGGGUGACCGCGGAGCAUAGUAAAACCUCCACAUUGAACCGAGCCAAUAAACUCUGAGCAAAGGACAACAACCCGAUGCACUAACAUAUUAACAUUCAUUGACCCAAUAAUUUUGAUCAACGAACCAAGUUACCCUAGGGAUAACAGCGCAAUCUGCUUCAAGAGUUCAUAUCGACAAGCAGGCUUACGACCUCGAUGUUGGAUCAGGGUAUCCCAGUGGUGCAGCCGCUACUAAUGGUUCGUUUGUUCAACGAUUAAAACCCUACUG
RNAcentral lists this ribosomal RNA (545 nucleotides) under Scinax camposseabrai. Its description in RNAcentral is "partial large subunit ribosomal RNA". It matches the Rfam family "Bacterial large subunit ribosomal RNA", at positions 1909 to 2601 of the family's 2925-position model. The record is from RNAcentral. Lineage: Eukaryota; Metazoa; Chordata; Amphibia; Anura; Hylidae.